This 454-nucleotide long non-coding RNA is filed under the name Homo sapiens (human). The record is from RNAcentral. Lineage: Eukaryota; Metazoa; Chordata; Mammalia; Primates; Hominidae.
CAAGUCGCCUACGUGCGCGCCCGGGAGCUGCACACUCUUGAAGUGACCGGCCUGGAGACGGUUGCCCAGAGCAAGGCCCAUGUAGCAUCCCUGGAGGGCCUCAUCCCUGAAGAUAAGGUUGUGCUUCUGGCAGGUUCUCCCUUACAGAAUGAAGCCACCCUGGGUCAGUGUGGGGUGGAAGCCCUGACAACCCUGGAAGUGGUUGGCCGCAGGCUAGGAGAUGGUGAGUUUAUAAAAGACUGUCUAUUGAGUGCAGCGGAAAUCAUGUGUCCUGAACAGAAAGAAGCAUUUGCAGACAUAAGCCUAACCAGAAAAACUGUUGCUCAGAGAGUAAAAGAUAUGGCUGAGAAUUUACAGGAUAAGUUGUGAGAAAAAGUGAGAUCAUUUGUGACAUUUUCUAUUGCAGUUGAUGAGUGCACAUAUGUAAAUAAUACAAGUCAGUUAAUUAUGUUUA